GGGCCCUUAGCUUAGUGGUAGAGCGCUUCAUUUGCAAUGAAGAGGUCACCGGUCCGAAUCCGGUAGGGUCCACCA
Molecule: transfer RNA, 75 nt
Filed under: bacterium
Lineage: Bacteria
Description: tRNA-Ala
Rfam family: tRNA
About the family: Transfer RNA (tRNA) molecules are approximately 80 nucleotides in length. Their secondary structure includes four short double-helical elements and three loops (D, anti-codon, and T loops). Further hydrogen bonds mediate the characteristic L-shaped molecular structure. tRNAs have two regions of fundamental functional importance: the anti-codon, which is responsible for specific mRNA codon recognition, and the 3' end, to which the tRNAs corresponding amino acid is attached (by aminoacyl-tRNA synthetases). tRNAs cope with the degeneracy of the genetic code in two manners: having more than one tRNA (with a specific anti-codon) for a particular amino acid; and 'wobble' base-pairing, i.e. permitting non-standard base-pairing at the 3rd anti-codon position.
Source: RNAcentral